Molecule: ribosomal RNA, 324 nt
Filed under: uncultured eukaryote
Lineage: Eukaryota
Description: partial 18S ribosomal RNA
Rfam family: Eukaryotic small subunit ribosomal RNA
Source: RNAcentral
CCCUUAGAUGUUCUGGGCCGCACGCGCGCUACACUGAUGCAUUCAACGAGUUUCUUCCUGGUCCGAGAGGAAUGGGUAGCCUUUUGAAAGUGCAUCGUGAUAGGGAUAGACUAUUGCAAUUAUUGGUCUUCAACGAGGAAUUCCUAGUAGACGUAGUUCAUCAGACUGCAUCGAUUACGUCCCUGUCCUUUGUACACACCGCCCGUCGCUCCUACCGAUUGAAUGCUCAGGUGAGCCAUUCGGACCUUCAUCAUGCCGGUUUCCGGUUUUGAUGAGGGAAAGUCUUGCGAACCUUAUCAUUUAGAGGAAGGAGAAGUCGUAACA